CUUUUCGAAUUACAUAAACACCCA
This 24-nucleotide non-coding RNA is filed under the name Arabidopsis thaliana (thale cress). Lineage: Eukaryota; Viridiplantae; Streptophyta; Magnoliopsida; Brassicales; Brassicaceae. The record is from RNAcentral.